This is a long non-coding RNA of Cyprinus carpio (common carp), 1976 nucleotides long. The record is from Ensembl. Lineage: Eukaryota; Metazoa; Chordata; Actinopteri; Cypriniformes; Cyprinidae.
UCACCCGUCCGCCGGUUGCAGCGCCCCAGCCUGCUCAUCACCGAGGGCAGCCCCCUGCCUCCACCUCGCUCCCGCACCAAGUUCUCGGCUGCACGGGAGCAGACUGAGGCGGUCCAACCUUCUGCCUGGCGGGCAGCUGCUGCCUCACCCGUCCGCCGGUUGCAGCACCCCAGCCUGCUCAUCACUGAGGGCGGCCCCCUGCCUCCACCCCGCUCCCACGCCGCAUCCGCAACAUCCUCCAGCAAGUGGCGCCGUAGAGCUGGGCGCAGGCAGGCCGCCCCACCCGUCCUGGCCCCCGUCAAACCUGGCGGUGAGCGGAAGAGCAAGAGGCCCCGGGACAGGUGGCCCAGAGAGAGGUAGCCGCUUUCUGGGGGAUGGUGAAAGCACUUCUCCCUCCCCUGGAGGAGGGCCGGGGGAGAAUCUGGAAAUCUCGACAAGAGAGCGGUUUUCUCUGUCUCUGGGUCCCAGGAGGGCACGGAGAUUUGCGGAUGGCCAAACACCGGACCUCACUCAUCCUCCUCCUUCACCAGAUGGCAGGAGCGGGCGGUUCGAGAUUGUCAACAAUGGCCCUACUCACGCACCCUCUGCCAACCCGUGGAACCAGGUGAGCCCUGCACCCCACACUCGCACCACACUCAGGCCUGCUCACAAGCCGCCCGAGUUGGGUCCCUGUAUUCCGUCUCGAUGCCCCACUGCGGGUACGGCUGUGGUUCCGCUAGUCCCGCUUGUACAGUUUCUAAGUGCCUGGUCAGCGCUACCCAGCCCGUCUCGCUGGCUCCUGCGGACCAUCAGCCUCGGCUAUGCGAUUCAGUUCACCCGGCGUCCCCCCCAAGUUCAGCAGUAUCCGCUUCACUACAGUGAAAGCGUCCGAUGCCCCUGUUCUGCGGGAAGAGAUCGCAGUCCUACUGGCAAAGGAUGCGAUAGAGCCGGUUUCUCCAGCCGAUAUGAGGAUGGGGUUUUACAGCCCUUACUUCAUUGUGACCAAGAAAGGCAGUGGGUUACGACAGAUCUUGGAUCUGCGAGUUUUGAACUGAGCCCUUCGUCGGCUCCGUUCAAGAUGUUGACGCAGAAACGCAUCUUCGGGUGCGUCCGUCCCCGAGAUUGGUUUGCAGCGAUCGACCUGAAGGACGCAUACUUUCAUGUGUCGAUCCUUCCGUGCCACAGACCUUUUCUGUGGAAGCGCGGCACUCACCGGGUCCAAGUUACACCGGCCUGUCGCCAAACCCUCACCCCGUGGUCAGAUCUUGCGUUUCUCAGGGCAGGGGUGCCCCUACAGCAGAUCUCCAGGCAUGCUGUGGUUUACACGGAUGCCUCCACCACCGGCUGGGGGGCCACGUACAACGGGCAUGCAGUCUUAGGGGUUUGGACGGGCCCGCAGCUGCAGUGGCACAUCAAUUGCCUAGAGUUGUUAGCAGUGCUCCUGGCCUUGAACCGCCUCAAAGGUCACUUACGAGGCAAGCAUGUGCUGGUCCAAAUGGACAACACGGCGACCGUUGCGUACAUCAACCGACAAGGUGGUCUGCGCUCCCGUCGCAUGCCACAACUCGCCCGCCACCUCCUCCUUUGGAGUCGGAAGGUUCUGAGGUCGCUUCGUGCCGUUCACAUUCCGGGCCUGCUCAACCAUACAGCCGACGAGCUGUCUCGAGCAAUGCUCCCGGGAGAAUGGCGAUUCCAUCCCCUGACGGUCCAGCUGAUUUGGAGACGGUUCGGAGCCAUUCAGGUAGACCUGUUUGCUUCUCCAGAGACCGCUCACUGCCAGUUGUUCUACUCCCUGACCGAGGGAACUCUCAGCACGGAUGCACUGGCACACAGCUGGCCGCGGGGCCUACGCAAAUAUGCGUUUCCCCCAGUGAGCCUUCUCGCACAAACACUGUGCAAAAUCCGGGAGGACGAGGAGCGAGUCUUGCUAGUGGUAUUGGCCCACUCGGACCUGUUUCCCCAAACUAGUGCUCCUCGCAACAGCCCCUCCUUGACUG